This 267-nucleotide long non-coding RNA is filed under the name Ananas comosus (pineapple). Its description in RNAcentral is "long non-coding RNA (ACOM_LNC032058)". The record is from RNAcentral. Lineage: Eukaryota; Viridiplantae; Streptophyta; Magnoliopsida; Poales; Bromeliaceae.
CUGAAAACUGCACCGAGCAUAUACCAUUAUUUUUUUAUUUUUUUUUAGAGAUAGGUAUCACGCUACCCACUUUAUUUAUUUUAUUUAGAAAUAAACUUAGCUGAAAAUAUGAAUCAAUUAGGAUUCGAACUUGAAACCUCGGGUACCAACCAUCAAGUUUUUUGCCACUUGCUCUAGUGACGGUCAGUUAAGCAUAUACCAUUAUUAGUUUAUAAAUAAUAAUGACAGUAUUCAUGCUUCUGCUGUACUCUAUCUACAGAGCCAUAU